Molecule: ribosomal RNA, 253 nt
Filed under: uncultured bacterium
Lineage: Bacteria
Description: partial 16S ribosomal RNA
Rfam family: Bacterial small subunit ribosomal RNA
Source: RNAcentral
GACGUAGGGCGCGAGCGUUGUCCGGAUUUAUUGGGCGUAAAGAGCUCGUAGGCGGCUUGUUACGUCGACUGUGAAAUCCCGCGGCUCAACUGCGGGCUUGCAGCCGAGACGGGCAGGCUAGAGUUCGGUAGGGGAGACUGGAAUUCCUGGUGUAGCGGUGAAAUGCGCAGAUAUCAGGAGGAACACCGGUGGCGAAGGCGGGUCUCUGGGCCGAUACUGACGCUGAGGAGCGAAAGCGUGGGGAGCGAACAGG